CAUCAUAUGGAUUAUCCGGGCUCAAGUUUUGCUAAAUUAAAAUAUAUUAAUAUAUUAACUCUUACUAAUUCGGAGGGGUCAAUCCCAUCUUGACUCACGCACCGACUUGACAAUUACUUGACUGCACCCAAAAAUAUUUCAUUACUGAAUUAAAAACUCAGUUAGUCUGGCAACAAAUUAUAGUGAGUUACUUGCAAGUCACCAUGGUGAUC
This 212-nucleotide long non-coding RNA is filed under the name Elaeis guineensis (African oil palm). RNAcentral describes it as "long non-coding RNA (EGUI_LNC061263)". The record is from RNAcentral. Lineage: Eukaryota; Viridiplantae; Streptophyta; Magnoliopsida; Arecales; Arecaceae.